This 254-nucleotide ribosomal RNA is filed under the name uncultured bacterium. RNAcentral's name for it is "partial 16S ribosomal RNA". The stretch from base 27 to 254 matches the Rfam family "Bacterial small subunit ribosomal RNA", at positions 550 to 776 of the family's 1533-position model. The record is from RNAcentral.
UACCAGCACCCCGAGUGGUCGGGACGUUUAUUGGGCCUAAAGCGUCCGUAGGUGGCGUUUCAAGUCUGCUGUCAAAGCACAAGGCUUAACCUUGUAAAGGCAGUGGAAACUGAAAGAGCUAGAGUGCGGUAGGGGUAGAGGGAAUUCCCAGUGUAGCGGUGAAAUGCGUAGAGAUUGGGAAGAACACCGGUGGCGAAAGCGCUCUACUGGGCCUGCACUGACACUGAGGGACGAAAGCUAGGGGAGCGAAAGGG